AUGGGGCCGCGUGGAGGCGAGCCGCGGUCAGAGCAGCCGCCGGCAGCUGCGCGACCCCGGCGUCACGCCCGGCGCGAGGACGCGGCGGUUGGCAGCGGGACGCGCGGGGCGAUGACAGCCGCUCACGGCCUCCGGGUUCCCGCGGGGCUCAGCGCGUUGGGGGCGGAGGGCUCCGCGUCCUGCGCGACGGCCGUUGGCGGAGCCCUCCCAGCGGCCAGCGGCCGCCCCCGCGCCGCCGCCGGCCCGGCCGCAAUCGCGGGCGUCGGGCGCCCCCCAGCGGCGGCAGCGCCGCACUGCGCCUCCCAGCCCCGCCCGCCGGCCCCGCGGGGGGAAGCGGAGGGCUCGGCCUCUCGCUCCCCGCGGCGCUUCGCCCCGUCCCCUCCCUGCCCGCUGCGGGCGGGGGAUGCACGUCGCUCUACCGACAGUCAGGCGCGGCCCCGCGCCGGCCGCUACUCCAGGCCCGCGGUGAUGAAGGGGCCGCGUGAAGCGGGUGCGGAAAGGCAGCGGCCGGGAGCGGGGAACCGUCGGUGCGGUGCGCCCCCGAGCGCCGCGCUGCCCCCGCAGCCCCGGCCAGCGUUUGCCGUACAUUGGUUUUCCUCGGGAAAAGCCGGCGACUGCGGGCGGGCGGUGCGGGGCCGCCGCUCAGCAGCCGCAGACGGGGGAGCGGCUCGGAGCCCCCGGCACCCUGCGGCCGGGCGUCACCUACGCGUGGGGCGGGGGCGGCGGGACUCGACCGGCAGCGGCCGUCGAGGAAAUCGGGACCGAGGAGCGGCGGGGCGGCCGAGGAACAAUAUGAAGUUAUUUUCUCUGGCACCCUCUGCAAACAGAAGAAGUUUUGCCUGAAAUUGGGAAUGUUCUUAUGGACCAGAUCCAGAGUUGUUCAAGCAAACAGCAAGAUUUCCAGCAAUUUCAGUAUUCUUUUGAUCAGGCACUUAAUCUUCUAGAAAAUACUGGGCUUAAAAGGACUAUUGUGUUUGUGGUGCUGACUGCAUAUGGAGUUUGGAGUUUGAGUUUGUGUCUAAUGGAGAAGAAGAAAGACAUUUACUAACAGAUUUUCUGUAAGUAUUGUUUUACUUCAUUUUCAUUCUAUUCCCUUUCCAGCUGUUUUUGCAUAAUAAAAGUUUAAGUGAAU
This 1132-nucleotide long non-coding RNA is filed under the name Phasianus colchicus (ring-necked pheasant). RNAcentral's name for it is "lncRNA (ENSPCLG00000003029.1)". The record is from RNAcentral. Lineage: Eukaryota; Metazoa; Chordata; Aves; Galliformes; Phasianidae.